This 533-nucleotide ribosomal RNA is filed under the name uncultured bacterium. RNAcentral's name for it is "bacterial SSU rRNA". It matches the Rfam family "Bacterial small subunit ribosomal RNA", at positions 8 to 527 of the family's 1533-position model. The record is from RNAcentral.
AGAGUUUGAUCAUGGCUCAGGACGAACGCUGGCGGCGUGCUUAACACAUGCAAGUGGAGCGACGAACCAGGGCUUGCCCUGGGGCAGAGCCGCGAACGGGUGAGUAACACGUGGGUAACCUGCCCCGAUGACCGGGACAACCCGAGGAAACUCGGGCUAAUACCGGAUGUUCUCGUUUCUCGUAAGGGAAUCGAGCAAAGAUAGCUUCGGCCUUCGCAUCGGGAGGGGCCCGCGGCCCAUUAGCUUGUUGGUGAGGUAAUGGCUCACCAAGGCUGCGAUGGGUAGCUGGUCUGAGAGGACGAUCAGCCACACUGGGACUGAGACACGGCCCAGACUCCUACGGGAGGCAGCAGUGGGGAAUCUUGCGCAAUGCGCGAAAGCGUGACGCAGCAACGCCGCGUGGGGGAAGAAGGCCUUCGGGUUGUAAACCCCUUUCAGAUGGGACGAAGCUUCGAGGGUUAAUAGCCUUCUGGAGUGACGGUACCUUCAGAAGAAGCCCCGGCUAACUACGUGCCAGCCGCCGCGGUAAUACA